CUUGUUUUUAUUAACAGAUACGUAAACUUCAAUAUUAUCAAUACGCUUAAGUCUUCUUGCAUUGGUAUCUUUUAUAAAACACGGUGAAAAGCAAGUAUUACUUGAACUAGCUGAUCUAUUGUUCCAGCGUCAAAAUGUUAGAGGAUCCUGUGACAGAUCUAGAUAAUUCAAACUCUACUUUUUGCUUCUUCCUUAUUUCACAUUUAUCACAUUUUACCGCGUCACUGUUUUUUAAAGAUUUGCCUUUUCCUCUUCACAAUUGCUAUUGUCCCUCUCUGUUUAUGCACUUGCCUAAAAAUGUAAAUGUCGAGUAGCUCUGCUGAGCCCCAGAUCUAUUCCUGGUAGAUAAUGGAGGGUGGGGGGAGGCAGGGAAGUUGGUUUAUUUUUCAUGUGACUUUAAGAAGCAGAAUCCAACGUGACUGCUUUUGGAUCGUGCCUUUGUCUCUAUGCCAGCAUUGUCGGUGAUGUCAGUGGGAACUUGCACAGUUGUAGCGUGAUGGGGAUCAUCUGUGGGCCAGGAUGAUGCUUCUCAUGAUGGUUUGGGGUAUAUCCUGCCAAAGCACAGCCAGUUUCAUGUUUCUUUUAUUAAAACACUCAUUCCCAAACUGAUCAUCACGUUCCUUGCAUUGAUCACAUUUUAUCGUAUGAAGCGGUGCCAGGUCUUUUUCAUUAGGGAAUGGUGUACUUCAACAGAAAAACUACUGUCACAAAAAAGCCAAACUAUUCCCAGGAGCCUUUUCUGGGAUUUCAAAUAGUAGCCUCAGCUUAGAACUUAAUUUUUCCUUAGAUACUUAUUCCAAGCAAAUGCAAACAAGCAUCAGGACUAUUAAAUGCUAACAGCAAUAAUCCCUAUGCUAUUUCCUCAUUUCCCUUAACAGUUUUUAUUGUCGUACUAGAGUAAAGCUAUUAGAUGGUCGAGAGCCAAAAGUAUAGAAUGAUAUUAGUGCAACCAUCAUUGAUGUGGUGGGGAUUAAAGAGGGUUUUUUCUUUUUAAUUCUGCAUAGUUGAUUUUACUCAGGUUAAUCAAUUUUAGAGCCUAGCAUUGAGACCAUUUUAAAGGGCAAUAAAAGGACCAACAUCAGGCAUUGACAGACAUACUGUGUUGAACCUGUAUAAAUGGCAGCAAAUUGAUCUGAUUUAUUUAGUCCCGUUUCUUGACAUUGUUCCUAUGACUAAGGGUUCAUCAAAAUUGUGCACUUUCUUCAGAAUAGAUUUGUACCAGAAAUGACAAUUUAGCAGAGGUUUCUGUGUUAGUUGCAUAUAUACUUGUCACUACCAUGGUAACACAACAAAAGCAGGUUACAAAGCCAUGACUUUGGGCCAUACUGUCAAUGUCAAAAAAAAGCACUUAGCUCUGGGAUUGGUACAUAGAGGGACUGUUUUUGAAAAAGUGAUUGUUUCUUCCAAUAUUUCUUUUUCCUUCCUAACUUACCUUGCUUUUGUUUGGGACGUUUUAAAACUCAUACAUAGAAAGGCAAAAGUCUACUCCAACACUCUCCCUUGCAACAAAUCCAAAGGCAGGUGUAAGAACCACAGAAACAGCUGCCUUAAUCUUGAGUUUUGUCAAGGACCCCUAGCUGUUAUUUAGGAGGAGAUGAAAAUAUAAUGAGUGCAUUUCCCACCCCCACCAGCAUGGUACCCGAGGCUUUCGGAAACAUUAACCGGAUUGUUCCUUUGCUCUGCAAAGCGCGUCCGGUGUCAGGAGUGUUAAUAUACAUGUGCAUUCUACCUCAGCGCCCCUUACAGUGAAAUAAGGUGACACUUGUUAAUUAUGUGCUCAGGGCCACAGCCCCCACCUCUCAGAGGACUCCCUGCCUGCUGGUUGGGCAUACUCUCUUUGCAUAGCUCCUGUUGGCUGUACCAAUUAACUUCCACUUCUUCCAGUUAAUAGAUAUUGAGUACCUAUGUAGUGUCAGGUUCUGUUUGAGACACUCAUACAGGUCAGUGACUGAAACAAAAAGAUUACCACCCUCACAGAGUUUAUAGUCUAGUGUGGUGAGAUAAACAACGGCACAAAAUGUAAUGAUACACAAUAGUAACAAAUAGUAACACAAUAGUAACAAAAUGUAAUAGCACAAUAGUAACAAAAUGUAAAUUUUAUAGUAUUUUAGAGCAGCAGACCCCAACCUUUUAGGCACCAGGGACCGGUUUCAUGGAAGACAGUUUUUCCACUGGGGCGGGGGGGAUGGUUCAGGAGGUAGUGUGAGCGAUGGGGAGCGAUGGGGAGCGGCAGAUGAAGCUUCGCUCGCUCGCCCCUCACUCACCUCCUGCUGUGCAGCCCAGUUCCUAACAGGCCACAGACCGGUACCGGUCCUGGCCCGGGGAUUGGGAACCCCUGUUUUAGAGGAUUAUAUGGGUGAUGGAAAAACAAAAGGAGAGCAGAGCACAGGACAUUAUAGGGUGCUGGGGAAGGAGUGAAGAAUGCAAUUUUAAAUAGGGUGGGCAGAGUGGGCCUCAUUCAGAAGGUGACAUCUGAGCAAAGACUUGAAGGAAGCUAAGAAGUUACCAUGUAGGUGUCUGGGGCAGUGGUCCGCAACUUUAGCAUGCAACAGCAUUACCUGGGGGGCUUGUUGAAACACAGAUUGCUGGGCCCCACCUAGAGUUCUUGAUUCAGUAUGUCUUCAAUAAGGCCUGAGAAUUUGCUUUUCUACAAAGUCCCCAGGUGAUGCUGAUGCUGCCAGCUUGAGAGCUGUACUUUGAGAACCCCUGAUCCAGGAGGAGAACAUUACUGAAAGAAGAGCUAGGUAAAAAAGCAUCAGGAAACGAAUGAGCCUGGUUGUUUUAGGAAACCAUGAGGAGGCAAGGAUGGCUGGAAGAGUGAGCAAGGGGGAGAGCAGUAGAAAAAGAGUCAAAUCGCAUAAGACCCUGUGACUUUUUCUCCAAGUGACAUGGGGAUCUGUCGUAGAGUUUGGGGCAGAUAAUUGACAUGAUCUGACUGAGUAAUAAAAAGGAAUACUCUGACUGCUAUGUUGAGACUACACAGUAGGCGACCACAGGUUGACACAGGAAGAAGAGGACACUGCAAUAAGCCAGGUGAGAGAUGAUGGCUUCAACGAAGGUGGUAGCAGUGGAUCUGCUGAGAAGUAGUAGAAGACAGAUUCUACAAAAUUUACUGACAGACUGGAUGUCUAGCAUUUGAGAAAGAAAGGCUCCAAGACGACUCCAAAGUCAUUAGCCCAAGCAACUAGAAGAAUACAGUUUUCAUCAAUAGGGCAAGGGAAACAACUUUUGGGUGUAAAAUGUUGGAGUUCAGUUGUGGACCUGCGGAGCUGGAGAGACCUAUUUUACUUUUAAGUGUAAACAGCAAUUAAUCAUUUGUAUUGUAUAUACUCAUCUGGAAUUGGAGAGGGGCAUGGAACUGGAAAUCUAACAAUGCAUCUUUGGCAUAUGAAUGGGUUUGAAAGUCAUGUGAGGUGGCUGAGAUCAUCACAGGAGGAGAAAAGAGCUAAGGUCUGCACUCUGGACCCUACAACAUGAAGUGGUUAGAGAGAAGAGAAGGCUUACAAAGGAGAUGAGAAGGACUAACCAGUAAGGAAGAAAAACAGGAGCUUGUGGCAUCCCGGAAGUGAAGUGAAUAAAGCAGGGCAAGGAGAAAGGCGUGACAGUGUUUUCAGUGCUUUCCUCUUAGUUGAAGAAGAUGAGGGCUAAGAACUCACCAUUGGGUUUAGCAAUGUAGAAGCUAUUGGUGAUCAUGACAACAGCAGUUCAGAGGAAAAGGAGGAGAGGAAUUGGAGACAGGGUGUAGCUUAUUCUUUCACAGAUUUUUGUUCCAAGGGGAGCUAAAGAAAAGGGGUGGGGAGUCAGUAGCUGACAAGAGAAGUGGAGAGACUUUUUGUUUCUUUUAAGAUGGGAGGAAUAGCAUGCUUUUAUGCUGAUGGGUGUGUUCCAAUAGAGUAAAUGAGAUAGAUAAGAGGAAAGAAUCAGAAUCGUCAGUGCAAAGAGGGCAAAAAGGGUGGGAUUAAUUGUACAGAUGAAAGGAUUGAUUCUAGAUAGCACAUGCAUAGUUCAUUUGUUUAUUUGCUUGCAGAUGCUGGGCAGAUGUGGUUGAGAGGACUGGAAGUUCUCUUCUGAUUGCUUUAAUAUUAUCAGUGAAGUAAGAAGCAAAGGCAUUAGCUUCCAUCGGAAUGGGAGAAGUGGUGUUUAGAGUUCGGGAAGAAGACGUGAAGUAGUCUUCUAGGAGAGUGGGAGAGUGAGAAAGUACAGUAUGAUCCUGAGAUGGAGUUAGGCUCUAAGUUGCAUCAGAAAGUGAGAUGAGUCAGUAUGGUUGUGGUUUUUUCCAGUCAUGUUCAACCUUACAGAUGGGGGUAGAUGAAGAGUUACAAUCAACCAUGGUUGUGGUCUGCCAAUAGAGUGAAGCAAAGAAGGAACGCACUAGAGAGCCGAGGAGUAUGCAAGGGAGUGGUUAUAUUUUUGGCCAUGAAGAUUAAGCAGGGUAAGGAGAGGAGAGAGGACAGCAAGAGGGUGUGUGAGGGACAGGGGAACAAAGUUGAAUUGGAGGUCCCAGUGGGAGCAGCACAUUGUUGGACUUGAGUAUUAAAGAGAAUGAGCCAGAAAGAUUUCAUCAGUAUGACAACAUGUUAGAGCCAUUGGGGACCUGAAGGUGAGAAAAAGAAUUGAAUUUUAUUUUUAUUCUUGCUCACAACCCCUUGAUGAUCUCACAUAAAUGAAAGUCUUUAAACCUACUUAUAUUUAAAAAAAACCCAUCACAGUCUUUGAUAGUAGAGAAUUUGGCUAUUUUAGAAAAUCCACAUCUUCUCAUAAAACUUGGCUUUUAUUAAGUCCUUCUCUUUUAAUCACACAUUCUCUAGUUUCAUGUAUUGGAUCUUCUUGGAAUAUAGGAGACAUUGUUAGCAAUCUAAUAAGUAUCACAUCACUAGCAUAUGCAUUUGCUGGUAUGUUAUUUUUCUGAGACUAUAUGGUCAUUUACCUGGUUGGUAAGCACAUCAGUUUUCUCACGUCUGCUUCAUCUACUCAUAAUUAAAACGGGUAUUACAUAAGACUGUUUUAUGUGUACGGUCAAAAUGUAUUCCUCAGAAAAUAAGGCAGAAAUUAUUUUUUUCCUUAUAGAACUCCAUUUUUUGGUGGUUUUUAAUUAUGCCAAGCUUUAUUUUUUACUGUUAGAGCCUUACAAUUAUUAGAUGUUAUGAAAGGAGAAUCUAGAAUUUAGAGUUGGGAGUUAAUAAAAGGUUUCUAUGGUAGAAGGCAAAUGGUUAAUUUUUUAGGCCUUAUAGUGUUUUAUCUAUUGAAAUUCUGUUCUCUUGGACCUCGCUUUUCCCUUUAUGAAAAUGUUUCCCCAUCCAUGUAAGCAUAUUAAAAUGAAUCUUUGUUAUCUUCAAAGGUACAACUUGAUUAGGUCUUAGAGAUUUCUUAGGACAAGAUUUUAGGACAAAGGAUAAUUUUGAGGCUGUUUUGAUUUAGAGAAACCCAUUCAACAAUUGGCAACAAUAUUUAGAAAUGUUGGAGCAGCCAUGGUAGUGAGACUUACCUUCAGGUUUUUAGAGAUAUUUCUUGAUUGAUCUUGAUGGAAUCUCUGCAUCAAAAUACUCUCUGAUGUUUGAGAAGAAAACAAACAUUCCCUUCCUGUCUACAGCAUUCCAUAAAAUCUAGAAAUAUUUAGCUUAGUCAUUGGACCAGGAAUGCCUGUCUCUACUGGUAUCUGAGAUCCAGUGAGUUCAGUGGCCUUAGUAUGUUGUAUAAUAAUCAUGAAAUCAACCUGCCUAUGUAUUUAGUAGAUUAGUUUAUUCUUUCUUUCCUCUGGUUUCUCUAAAUUCUGGAUUUUGGACUUCUGAAAUAAAGGAAUUUUAUUUUGGUAUCUAAGUCUUAGGUAACUUAUAAAACCCAUCAUUUUCAGUAAUAACUUCAAAAAAUGAACACGUAUUUGAUUACUAAAUAUAUGUAUUUGUAUUUUAUUUGCUUAUAUUUUUAAGCUAUACAAACACAUAGUUUAAUGAAGUACCAUUUGCUCCAAAGUAGUUAUAUUUUAACCACUGUGGACCAGUCCAUAUAUGCAUGCAUUUCUGCUGAAAAUCUAAAUACAGACCAACUAUAUAACUAUACUGAUAUGGUAACCUAGAAGAUGAUUGAUUAUUCCAACAUAUAUUAAUUCUUUGUUAGAUUACAAGGUCUUUGAAGACAGGAUAUUAUCUUUUCCAUGUUUGUUUUCUUCUUAGAGCUAGCACAACUCAUUACAUAAGGCCCCCAAUCAAUCAAUAUUUAAUAAAUUUAUAAAUGAUGUGUUCUCAGAGCUUUUUAAAGAAUUCUGUGAGGGAAAAUCUGUAAUGUUCUAUUCAUGUGAUGGUGAGGGCACCUGUCUUGGGGGUGUUGUCUUUUCUCAGGAAGUUGUAGUCCCAGAUGUUUGACAGUUCACCCUCUGAAACAUACUUACUAGAUAAAAUGGUUAUAAUUACACAGGGCAUUGCUAGCUCAGAUUCCAAUCUAUGCCUCAGUCUUAACCUUCUCCACACAAAUCUGAUCACAUUCCUUCUUAAAAUUCUUCUAUGUAAGAAUUUUCCCAUGCCCUUUCGAGUGUAGGUUAGGUGGCCCUCCCUCUUCUGUACUUCUGUCUGCAUGUAUCAGAAUGCUCACCCCUCCACCACAUGUGUGGAUUUAUGGGUUUUAAAGUGUAAUGUAGGCACUGGCUUUCAGUUUUGUAUCCCUAGAUCCUGUCUUCUACAGAGUAGACCCAUGAAUAGAUAUUUUCACAUGUUUAUUUAUACCUCAACAUCAUUGUUCAUUAAGUAAUAUUUUAUAAAUAUUUCUGGCUCCAUCCUUUAAAUAAAUUCCCUCACUGCAUAAACACAAUAGGAUGACAUGGGCCUACAGCUCAGUUCUCAAGCUGGCCAUAAUAAAAAUUUCUGUGAAAGUCAGACAAGAAGGCAGACUUUGUGUAAUUUCAGGCAUGUGCUAAUUUGUAUGCUUGUGGGUGCCCUGUUUUAUGUAAUUGUCCAUAAAAAUGUGGCAUGGAAUCUUCAUUAUUUUUAAUAUAGAUAGCACAUGCCAUCCAAAUUAAAAAUUUUAAGCAAAUCUACUUUUUCCUCCUGUAUAUUAAUUAGUCACUUUAAGAAUUUUUGAUAUUAUAGCUUUUGUCCUUAGGUGGAGCUGUUAAAGUUAAGUAAGUGUGAAUAUCUGUCAAAUACAGUUCUUGCAAGAGUGCACGUACAUUUUAUAUAUUGUGAGAAAGGCGUAAUUAAUAGCAAAUUAGGAUAAUGAAAGUAAUAUACACCAGAUGUAGAGAAGACCUUGUGGAAAAUUAGUAUGAAUUAGAUAACAUGUGAUGUGGUCAAAGCAAGCUUGUUGAGAAGAAUUAAAACAGUGGACAUGUGGAGGGACAGUCAGUGGCUGUCUAGCUCCUACACCUAGGGAAUAAUUUAAUCAAGUUUGCUAUUGUAAUACUCAGGGCUUCAAGCUGUUCCAUUUUCACAAGUUGAUAACUUGGGAUUUGGACCUUGAUUUGCAGCAUUCCUAUAUGGUCAAGGUUUCGAGUUGAGAUGAUCACUUACCAAGUAAUCUAAUAAAAACAUCUCCAUGUGUGAGAAUGGAAAAGCCAUGAGAGAUCUUGAGUACUCUGAGUCAUGCUACACAUCUUCCAGACUUGGGAUUCUAGAACACCUUUACUCUUUAGGGAAGUGUUUUCUUAAUUGAAUGCCAAACUACUUCAAAGUUAUUUUCUUGUCAGUUAUUUUAGUGUUUGUGCAUGUUUAUGUUAGCAAAUAAUUUUGAUAGUAAUGUUGUAUAUUCCCAUUUAAUGAAGGGGCUAUUGAAUAAUCAAAUGAAAAGAUGAAAUAAAUUUUAAGUUCAUGGGAAAAUGUUUUUAAAAGAGAGAAAAAUAAUGCCUGCAUGUAGAAAUAAAGAUUAAAAUAUAUGAAUUGACAA
Molecule: long non-coding RNA, 7872 nt
Organism: Orcinus orca (killer whale)
Lineage: Eukaryota; Metazoa; Chordata; Mammalia; Artiodactyla; Delphinidae
Exons: 2
Source: RefSeq, a predicted model, not a curated record